Molecule: non-coding RNA, 27 nt
Filed under: Homo sapiens (human)
Lineage: Eukaryota; Metazoa; Chordata; Mammalia; Primates; Hominidae
Source: RNAcentral
UCGCUCUUGAGAGGUGACUGGCCAAUC